CAAAGGAAGAAUGUUCCACAAAAUGAAUUCCUUUUACAUUAUUUGUGUCGCUUUCAAAAAUGAAAUUGCACAUCACUAUUGUAGACAAUAAAAUGUACAUUAUUAGCCUUACUAUCAACAUUUAUAUAGCUCCAGCAUAUUCCACAGUGCCUUACAAUUAUAGAAAUUGGAUGUUUAGAGGUACAGAGUGCAACGCUUCAAAU
Pelobates cultripes (western spadefoot toad) is the source of this 203-nucleotide non-coding RNA. The record is from the annotation of a GenBank genome assembly. Lineage: Eukaryota; Metazoa; Chordata; Amphibia; Anura; Pelobatidae.